Toxotes jaculatrix (banded archerfish) is the source of this 5040-nucleotide RNA transcript. It is a transcript of the gene named dystrobrevin, beta a, with no coding region annotated. NCBI's taxonomy places the organism in Eukaryota, Metazoa, Chordata, Actinopteri, Toxotidae. The transcript has 24 exons. The record is from RefSeq and is a predicted model, not a curated record.
UACAACAGCAGCAGGAGGAGCGGCGGCGGCGGCGGCGGCAGUGGAGGGUGCGAAACAUGGUUCUCUACGGGAAUAAAUAACGGGACCGGGGGAGGAUAUUAUUUAAACCAAAGGGGAGGCCACGGUGGAAAAGAGGAAGCGGAUAUUUCAAGAGAGAAGAAACAGCUAAAGUCAGUGCCGCACGUUUCAGUGUUGAUGUUGGUGUUUUGGCCACGAAUACCUGCCGAAAACAGUCCCGACGUCCUUUAUUGAGGCUCCUCUGUCCUGUGUGACCCCCCUGACGCAGAGAGGAUGGUGAUGGAGGAGGGGGGUCAAAGAGACAGAGGGAGGAGAGAUCCGGUGACAGCAGGAGCAGAAGGAAGGCAGAUCUUCGUGGAGCUUGGGGAGCAGAACUUUGAUGCCAUUUGUCUUUCUACAUAUCGAACAGCCUGCAAGCUCAGAUUUAUACAGAAAAGAUGCAACUUGCAUCUGAUCGACAUAUACAACGUAAUCGAGGCGGUGCGGGACGCCGGGCUGAACGCCGUCGAGCUGAACGCCAUCAUCUCUGUGACCAGACUGGAAAACCUGGUGUCCUCCCUGUUCAACCAGCUCAGCAAGCGCCUGCCCACCACACACACCAUCAACCCCCAAGAGAGCACUGUCCUGUUAGUUGAAUUCAUAUUGGCUGCCAUUGAGAGUGAACCAGACAGCCGGCUGACGGUGCUGUCUGUGAAGGCGAUGCUGGCCAUGCUGUGUGGAGGGAAACUGGUAGAUAAACUCCGCUAUGUGUUUUCUCAGGUAUCUGACUCCAACGGUGUGUUGGUGCUGUCCAAGUUUGACAGUUUUCUGAGGGAGGCCCUCAAGUUGCCCACCACCGUACAUGAAGGACCGUCCUUCGGCUACACACACACGUUAGCGCGCUCAUGCUUCCCACAACAGAAGAGAGUGAUGCUCAACAUGUUCCUGGACAUCACAGCCAACCCUCCUCAGUGUCUCGUCUGGUUGCCUCUCAUACAUCGUCUGGCCAAUGUGGAGCAUGUCUAUCACCCCGUGUCAUGCUCCUACUGUCGUGGCAACGGCAUGACGGGCUUCCGCUAUCGCUGCCUCCGUUGCCGUGGUUACCAGCUGUGUCAGAACUGCUUCUGGCGCGGCAACACCAGCGGCUCACACAGCAGCCAGCAUCAGAUGAAGGAGCACUCGUCCUGGAAGUCGCCGGCGACGAAGCUUGGCCGAGCCCUGAGCAGGACUCUGGGCUGCGUGUCGUCCAGGGAGCCCCCCCACCCAAUGUAUCCAGAGGAGCCUGAGAGGACGCUUAACCUCGCCAACAUAGUCCCCACUCGACCUAUUGGGAACACCAGUGAGGCCAUGUUGCUGUCCUCACCAGCACCUGAGUCCUCCAAGAGUUUGGCAGCGGCUCAGCGUAUGAACGAGGAACACGCUCUGAUCGCUGCGUAUGUGAAUCGCCUCCAGAGCAGCCCACGCGUGGACAGUCCCAGUCGGCAGGACGAGGAGCACAAACUGAUCGCCCGCUACACCUCCCGACUGGCAGAGACCGACAGCACAGGAGUGAUACCUAACCGGAGCAUCAACUUUGAUGUGAACAAACAGAAGAGGGAGCUAAUCGCUCAGCUCGAGUGCAAGAACAGAGAGAUCUUGGCAGAGAUCAAACGUCUCCGUACAGAGCAUGACGCAGCCUGCCAGCCCAGCCCGGAGAAGGGCAGCACCAACCCAACUCUGCUGGCUGAGCUUCGCCUGCUCAGACAGAGGAAAGAUGAGCUGGAGCAGAGGAUGUCGUCGCUGCAAGAGAGCAGGAGGGAACUGAUGGUACAGCUGGAGGGACUGAUGAAGCUGCUCAAGGAUGAGGAACAGCGACAGGCAGCGCAGGCAGCUGGCUCUUCUCACGCCUCUCCUUCCCGACCAAGUCCAUCAACCAUGCGCUCUGUAGGUACCGUGUCUCCCCAGGCUCACAUGUACCCUCCUCAAGACUCCCUUGCAGGGGUGGGUGGCGACGUACAAGAGGCCUUUGCUCAAGGUCCAAGAAGGAACCUGAGGAACGACCUCCUGGUAGCAGCCGACUCCAUCACCAACACUGUGUCCUCGCUGGUCAAAGAGCUCCACUCUGAUGAUGGUCGGGAGGAGGAGGAGAGAUUGCUGAACGGGAAGGACAGAGGGUUUUUCUGAAAAUGUUCACAUAAAAGGUGGUAAGACCUGACCCCUGAACAGCCAGACAGACAGGAGGCCAGGGUUCAGCCUGCAUGUCCAACACAGGUUGAAAUGAUCGGAGGAGAAACAAAAUCAGCAGAGUGAUGCUUCAUCACGGCCAAAGAAGACCGACCCUGCAGGGACUGAAGUGUAUCUACUUAUAUUCAUUGUUAGCCAAUGGGGAUUAGAGCUCCACUGCCAAUCAACCAAUCACGAUGCUGGACACCAAAUGACCGCCCUGCCCCAGGGGCCCUACUGAUGUAUAGCUGUGAUUCUGUGUGUGUGUGUCUUGCCACUGUGGUUUUACUUUUGUUUUGAUUUGAUCGCGCAUAGCUGAACGAGGAAUCUGAAACCUACUGAUUUGUGUUGUAGCGUGUGUGCGUGUGCGCGCUCUGCGUUUGCGAAGUGCGAAGGGGUCGAGCAAGUGAGAGAGACUCUGCGAGGAGACAGGAAGGUGUGUUUAGGAAAUUUGUGAAGGUUCGAAAAAAAGCAGGAAAGUUUCAGGAUCAGGAUGGAGAUACAGUAUGUAACCGUGUUUGAGGGAAGAAGUGGAGGAAGAACAGAGGAAAGUCGAAAAGACGAGAGGGGAGAUGUUGCGUUUUUAAGUUUCGGCACUGUGUGCUUACUAUUUAUUGCUUUGAUUUGAGUUUUGGCAUUUAUUCAUUCGGUUUGAGUGUUUCUGUGUACAUGAGUGUGGUCAGGCCCUGCUGAGACGAUAAGCUUUAAUGGGAUGUUUCCUGCUGCAUCCACCCCAGCCAGGCACCCUGUCUGGCUGGGGCGAGGCAGAGCGAACAGUUGAAGUCUUGGUCCUGGUCCAGGUGUCUGAAACCUGGAUGAGAUUAGUGCCAUGGGUGCUGGUGUGAUAGCAGCUCAGGUUGUCCAUGCCUCUCUGUGGAUUCCCGGUACUGCAGUGGGACUACAGUUAAAGAGGAGGUAUCUGAUUACUCUGUGUGUGUGUGUGUGUGUGUGUGUGUGUGUGUGUGUGUGUGUGUGUGUGUGUGUGUGAGUGAAUAUAAAACCAUUUGCUUCAACAGGGUCGGUGUAGCAGUAGAGUAGCAAAGUGGGUGGAGUGGGUAAAUUUUAUCCCCAUUUUAAAAGUUUUCUUUUAAAGGGUCAGUUCACACAAGAUUACACUUCUUUUUUUCUGGUUUAGUGUUUUCCAAACAGGGCGUACCAGGAUAAAUCGUGCGAUUACUGAAGGAAAGUUUUUUUUUUUUCUGAUUUAUCUACACAAUCAGGUCCACAUUUGUUUACACUCACAUUUUCAUUAAUUUAUGUCUUUGUGUCAGUUCUGUUUAAGGCCAUAACCUGUGAUUCAGGGACUCAUUUGCUUCGUUUUGAAGCGUUAUACAGAUUAGGAACCGCUGUGCUACUGUUAUCAAACCGUCCAGAUAGUCUAGGGUUUAUUUGUAAGAGGUUACAGAUGUUUGUCUCUUAAGAUUUUUGCCUCAACUGUAACACCUCCUCCUAACAAACAGCUAGCGAGCGUCAGAGUAACAGAGGUAUCUUAUAACCUAGCUAGCAUCCAGCUACUAGAAAUAGGUCCAGGUCGCUCAGCCUGUUUACUGACACAUUGAAGAAUUGCGUCCAGUUAGGAAUCAAAAGCGUGAAGAACAUUUCUUCACAGAAACAAUGUCCAUGUUACUCUGGAUAAUCCACAAAACACACAGAACAGUUUCCCCUGACUUUUUACUGAACAAACAGUUCCUAAGAAAACUGUUCUGAAUGUGUGUUGUGUAAUUUGUGUGAACUGAUCCUUUGAUUUUGUGUUUCCCCAAGAGCUACAUGGGAGUCUCCUGGGUAAUUUAAUCGUAUUACAGCAUUAUGUUAGUACCAUCGGAUGUACGGAUUUUAAUAUUGUUUCUGAAAAAUCACAUUUUCAGUCGUUAAUGAAGAAUAAUAAGAAAUAAGGACUUGAAAAACCACAAUACCCAUGAGCCUCAGUGGCCCAGAAAGUAGUCAGAGACAAAUCAGAGCUGCAGCAAAGUCAAAAAGCUUCACUUUCUUUAACCAGGAACAAAUCUCAGUGCUGUAGUUGAAAACUUUUUUUCCAAAGAUUUUUUUUUCAUCGCAGUUGCUCUUAUUUCGAACUGACGAUUCAACCAGCAGUUUUCUGUCCGUUCACAUCACCUAUGCAAAAAAAAAAAAACAAAAGAAAAAACUGAAUGUGACUUUUGCUUUCUAAACACAAAUGAUCUUCUCACACUUUGCUUCUCUGUGCUGCCUUUUAAGCUUCCCGUAAAAUCCAUUUGAUUGUGGAAGUUGAGGUUUUCUGUGGAUGUCGGAUUACACCCAGCACCGUUAAAAUCUUCAGGCCGAGAUCUUUAUGCAAAUCUAACAUGACCCAAAGUGACUCACUGAGCUUGUGUCAGGUCGGGUUGGUUUUAUUUUUCAGCAGCUGUGAGAUAUUUUUUUUGUUUGUUUUUUUUUUUAUCAUCAACAUGUUUUCAACACUUUUUUAGCUUUUCAGGUUUUGGUUUGUGCUUAUAGGAAGCUGUACUUUGCUGUAAUGUACAGUUCUGGAUGAGUUUUCAGUUGGAGAGUUGGUUUGUUUUUGUUUUUUUUUUUCUCUCUUUCACCAGCCCUCCAAUUUUUUGACUGACUGCCUGUGGCUGGAAUGAUCACAUUUUCAGUCCGCUGGAUGAUUGACUGACUGUACGGAUGAUUUGAUAAAUGAAUGAGCUCGUGUUUCAGCGUGUAUGUGUGAAAGACAGAGCGAGAGAGUGAGAGAUAUCAAGACUGACAGGACAGACGCGUCCUGACAUGAAACUGUAAACACAUUCAGCUCUGAACGUGCUGGAGCUGACGGUGUGAGUGAAAAGUGUGGAUCAUCUGCAAUAAAUAAUAUUUAACGUCAAA